This 399-nucleotide ribosomal RNA is filed under the name uncultured bacterium. Its description in RNAcentral is "bacterial SSU rRNA". It matches the Rfam family "Bacterial small subunit ribosomal RNA", at positions 29 to 409 of the family's 1533-position model. The record is from RNAcentral.
AACGAACGCUGGCGGCGUGCCUAACACAUGCAAGUCGUGCGAGAAAGUUCCUUCGGGAGCGAGUAAAGCGGCGCACGGGUGAGUAACACGUAGGUAACCUGCCCCCCAGUCUGGAACAACUAGAGGAAACUCUAGCUAAUGCCGGAUGAGACCACGAUCCCUUCCGGGGGUUGGCGGCCAAAGAUGGCCUCUACUUGUAAGCUAUCGCUGAGGGAUGGGCCUGCGGGCCAUUAGCUUGUUGGUGAGGUAACGGCUCACCAAGGCUGUGAUGGCUAGCUGGUCUGAGAGGAUGACCAGCCACACUGGGACUGAGACACGGCCCAGACUCCUACGGGAGGCAGCAGUGGGGAAUAUUGCGCAAUGGGCGAAAGCCUGACGCAGCGACGCCGCGUGGGUGAU